RNAcentral lists this ribosomal RNA (717 nucleotides) under Tegenaria domestica. RNAcentral describes it as "SSU rRNA". It matches the Rfam family "Eukaryotic small subunit ribosomal RNA", at positions 396 to 1128 of the family's 1831-position model. Lineage: Eukaryota; Metazoa; Arthropoda; Arachnida; Araneae; Agelenidae. The record is from RNAcentral.
CUGAGACGCUACACACCAGAAAGCAGGCGCGCAAAUUACCCACUCCCGGAACGGGGAGGUAGUGACGAAAAAUAACAAUACGGGACUCUUUUGAGACCCCGUAAUUGGAAUGAGUACACUCUAAAUCCUUUAACGAGGAUCCAUUGGAGGGUAAGUCUGGUGCCAGCAACCGCGGUAAUUCCAGCUCCAAUAGCGUAUAUUAAAGUUGUUGCGGUUAAAAAGCUCGUAGUUGGAUCUCAGUUCCAGACGGGUGGUCCGCCUACCGGUGGUUACUGCCUGUUCUGAACAGUCAGCCGGUUUCUCUUGAUGAUCUUCACCGGUUGUCUUGGGUGACCGGCAAGUUUACUUUGAAAAAAUUAGAGUGCUCAAAGCAGGCGUGAUGCCUGAAUAAUGGUGCAUGGAAUAAUGGAAUAGGACCUCGGUUCUAUUUUGUUGGUUUUCGGAACACGAGGUAAUGAUUAAGAGGGACAGACGGGGGCAUUCGUAUUGCGACGCUAGAGGUGAAAUUCUUGGACCGUCGCAAGACGAACUACUGCGAAAGCAUUUGCCAAGAAUGUUUCCAUUAAUCAAGAACGAAAGUUAGAGGUUCGAAGGCGAUCAGAUACCGCCCUAGUUCUAACCAUAAACGAUGCCAGCCAGCGAUCCGGCUGUGUUCCUCAAAUGACACGCCGGGCAGCUUCCGGGAAACCAAAGCUUUUGGUUGCCGGGGAAUCAAGG